This 292-nucleotide ribosomal RNA is filed under the name uncultured bacterium. RNAcentral's name for it is "partial 16S ribosomal RNA". RNAcentral also lists the same sequence under 1 other name. The record is from RNAcentral.
GGACUACACGGGUAUCUAAUCCUGUUUGCUCCCCACGCUUUCGCGCCUCAGCGUCAGUAUUGGUCCAGAAAGCCGCCUUCGCCACUGGUGUUCCUUCCGGUAUCUACGCAUUUCACCGCUACACCGGAAAUUCCACUUUCCUCUACCAUACUCUAGUGAUGCAGUAUCAAAUGCAAUUCCUUGGUUAAGCCAAGGUCUUUCACAUCUGACUUACAUCACCGCCUACGCGCUCUUUACGCCCAGUAAUUCCGAUUAACGCUCGCACCCUCUGUAUUACCGCGGCUGCUGGCAC